RNAcentral lists this long non-coding RNA (668 nucleotides) under Zalophus californianus (California sea lion). RNAcentral describes it as "lncRNA (ENSZCAG00015006219.1)". Lineage: Eukaryota; Metazoa; Chordata; Mammalia; Carnivora; Otariidae. The record is from RNAcentral.
UCCUUGAUUUCCUAUGAAAUAUCCCUGCCCCCACUCUCUCCCAUUCUCCUCCUGAGCCAGCAGAGUAACCCUACCCAUUUUUUGCCUUUUCAGGUAGUCAGACCUGUCCUGACAGCUGGAGGCCUACGUGAGGGGUGGCCACAGAAGGAGGAGGUCUCAGAGGCCACAGAAACUGAGGAAUCUGAACACAUGAGCUCCGGAGUCCCAGGAAAAUGUCAACUUUUAUCUUCUGAAGAAACUUGGAGACUUUUGUAAAGGUGAAACUUUUCAUCUUUAGGACUGAACACCUUCUCAACUGAACUUAAAGGAGAGAUAAGUACAAUGUUUUGAGCUAUGUUUAAAUGAAGAUGAGCUAGAAGAAGACAGAACUGUUAAAAAUACGUAAGUUUUAUUAUGUAGCCAAAUGAAGGAUUCGGCUCUCUUUUAACGGUAUUCUUAAAAAUUCCUAGCUUCUAGGAAAUUCCCUAGUUAUGGAAUUUUCUUUCAUUAUAUUGAACUACUCCUGAUUUCAUCAUGAAAAUCUGAUCUGAAACUCAAUUUAUGGAAAUAUUGAAAAUGAAUUUGAAAUUAAAUGAGACCAUCUGUAUACUAAUAUGAUGCAAUAUUGUUGAUUCACAUUUUUCCAUAUUAAAGACUGUUCUGAACUCUAAAUCUUUUAAAUAAAUGAG